This 2196-nucleotide long non-coding RNA is filed under the name Gossypium barbadense (sea-island cotton). Its description in RNAcentral is "long non-coding RNA (GBAR_LNC010923)". The record is from RNAcentral. Lineage: Eukaryota; Viridiplantae; Streptophyta; Magnoliopsida; Malvales; Malvaceae.
GGCGCUUUUAAGCACCGCUAAAACUAUUUGCUGCGUUUUUGCAAGCGCCGCAAAAGACGCUGCUAUAGGAAACGCCGCUAAUGUUUGCGGCGUUUAUCUAAAAAAAUGCCGCUAAGGUCAUGACCUUUAGCGGCACUUUUCCCACAAACGCCGCUAAAGGUCAUAAAAUUUAAAAAAAUAAAAUAUUAUAAAAGUCAUGAAAAAUAUAAAAAAAUUAAAAUUCAUUAUCAAAAUAUUGAAAAGAAGAAUAAUAUCUAUGAUAUAAAUAUAUAUCCCACCAAACAGAAAGUUUAUAAAUAACAAUCAAACAAAAUACAUCACUUAUCAUACUACACCAGAAAUCAUCAAAAUACAAAUAGAACAAAAUAAUGAUAGAAUGCACACUUUAAGAUCAGCAUUUAGCUCAAACAAGUCGUCACUAUGCAUGAUUCAGCAAAUCCUGAACCAUGCAUCCAAUAAAAACUCAAACCUGAGAAAAAAGAAACAAAAGUUAAUGAAUGACAUAUGAAGGCAAGAACCAACCAAAAUAAUAGAAUCAGAUUCCAGUUAUUAUGAAAGUAGAUAACUUAUCUUAAGAUAAGGUUCUUUUAAAUUCAAAACCCUAAAUCAGAUUAAAAAUAAAAUAUGCAAUUAACAAGUCAACAUUAACGCCACAUAUAACAUCAAAUUGCACAACUUAAUAUACUCAAUACAUUGGCAUAAAUAACAUCACAUUGAACAAUGAAUUUAACACAUUCGAAUAGAUCAAUUUUAAGCUCACUAAUGGUUAAUUUAGCAUGAGAACAGCAUAUAAAUGUUUUGCAUUUACAACAUGGUUUAAUCAACUUCAAGCAGGAAAUUAAAUGCUGCAAAUUUCCUGCAUUCAAAAUCAUAUAUGGACAACAUUAAAAUGACAUUUUCGAGCACCUUAAAGACACAUUUGGAAAAUUUGAGGAACCAUUUGAACAACCACAUUCGAACAUCUUAAAGACAACUAAAUUUUGUCUUGUUUUGGACAACCUUACAGGUCAGCAAGAAUGUAUUAAACCACGCCUAACAUGUUUAUUUCAUCAUGCUUUGAACAACAAUAAACAACCAUUAUCCUAUUAAGAUGCAGGGACCUUUAAUGAAAAACAAGAAAAACCUUUACGCAUGACCAAGUCCCAAGAUAAUGAAGAUGAUGCUAUUGGAUCUUUCCACCAAUUCCCCAUUUCAAAAGCAGCUAAAAAAGAAAAUAACCAAAACCAUGAUAGAACAUGAUGUCUAGAAAUAAGAAAGAAAAAACAACAAUCUAAAAAUAGCAAGGCAAGGAAAAUGACUUAAAGCCUAUAGACUCUAAAGCUAAGGUGACCAAAAACCUGAAGGAAGUAAAUAAAUCUAAAAAUGAUUUGAUGUUCUAAGGGGGGAAAUGACUCAUAACGCAAAAAUUCCUUGUGCUCAACAAACAUACAACUUGGACAUUCCUUACAUGUAUAUAUAUUAAAAAAAAAAUGGCGGGAUGCAUGCUUUUUGCACAACAGACAGCUUCGUGUUUUAAGAAAAAGAGAUUAUUUCAAUAACUUCAAAUUAAAAUUUAUUGAAAGUAAUCAUUAUUGAUGCUUUCAAACAUGCAUCCAAUAAAUGACUGUCAACAAUCAGGAGAAAGAGAUUUAAUAGGUUUAAGCUAGAUUAAAGCAAGACAUAAACAAGCUUCUUAUGAGGCUUGAUAAGAAAAAAAAAGUGUCAAUAGUCAUAUCAAAGGUUUAGUAAUGAAUAUAGGUGUUAUAAAUAGUUUAAUGGCAGAGUUUUGAGGUAUCAAGAAAGAGGCUUGGUUUUUGCUUUACAGUUAGGAUUGAAUGUAUCAUCUUUUUCAUCAAAUCAAAGCAUUUUAAUUCCAUAAAAUUUCCACACCACUUUUCCUUUAAACUAAAGACAUAAAUAAAAUCCCCAAAAGCUAAUUGAUUCUAGAAUCAAAGUUCAGGCAAUUAUAAUCAAACUAAACUAUCGUAGCUAACUACAAAUACUGGAAACGAUAUAGAAAUAUUCCAGCAUCAAACAUGUAGGAGUUAUAACCACCUCAAAAACUUGAAAGACCUGAAUAAGAACCGUAAUUAAUAGAUGACAUAUGAAGAUAUUUGCAUAAGUAGGAAUAUAAUCAUAUAUAUAUAGCUUUUUCAAGUUGACAUAUGAAGAUAUUUGCAUAAGCAGGAAAAUUUUGUACCAAGCUGUCAGUAUAUC